RNAcentral lists this long non-coding RNA (1633 nucleotides) under Homo sapiens (human). Its description in RNAcentral is "HSALNT0311572". The record is from RNAcentral. Lineage: Eukaryota; Metazoa; Chordata; Mammalia; Primates; Hominidae.
GGUCUGCAGCUUCACUCCUGAGCCAGUGAGACCACGAACCCACCAGAAGGAAAAAACUUCAAACAUAUCCGAACAGCAAAAGGAACAGACUCCGGACACGCCACCUUUAAGAACUGUAACACCCACUGCAAGGGUCUGCGGCUUCAUUCUUUAAGUCAGUGAGACCAAGAACCCGCCAAUUCCGGACCCAAGAUCACAAAUCUGAAACCAACCAGCAAUAUGACCCUUGGCAAUUUACCUAACACCCGCGAACCUCAGUUUCCUAACCUGUAAGUUGGGGGUGAUAAUACCAAUUUCCAAAAAGAUGUUGUGAGCAAUAAUGCAAUACUAUGAAUAAAGCAAUUGAUGGAGGGCCUGGCUAUUGCUGAUUAUCAUCAUCAAGCUCUUUGUCUAAUAGCAUUUGGGGAAAGGAAUGAAAUUCCCAGAUGAGAGACAAAGUUGACCAUCAGAGUCUGCAGAGUUUGCAUACCCACAUGGUAUCAGAGGUCUCCAGUAAACGCAGUUACUCCUGGGAUCCAUGAAGACAGGACAAACAGUGAGCUGGUAGCAGCAAAAGCUAAUCAAGUUAAUUGAGAUUCUAUGACCAGGCUCUGAUGUCAGCACAACCCAUUAUUUUGGAGAGUUCUUUCCGGCCUGAAAGUGAUGCUUAUUGCUUUAUUCACAAUCUACUGGCAAGAACUCAGCCACGAGGCCACACAUGAUCUCAAGGGAUGCCAAAAAAACAUAAAUUUAAAAAAUACAUCACAUGUAAUGAAAUGAAGCCUAGCCACCUGCCCAGGAAGAAGAGGAAAUGGGAUCAAUUAUCAUUCACCAGUGCCACACUGUCCAAGCUGGCUUCACAGAAGCCUCAGUUGAGUCAGUGCCAGCCCUACUCUCCUCCCUGGUACUUAAUGGUCUGUCAACAGCAGUGAUGCAGAAGCAAGGGUGCUGGAAUGGAGACAGGAGUCCUAGUGCUGACUGCCACUGGCUGUAUGACUCUGGCCGAGUUUGGGAGCUUUGGCUUAGUUAAAUUAACAGAGGAGACUUACAGGGAGCUUUUGCAAAGUCAGAUGUCUCUGACCAUGGAUUGGGACAUGAAUGGGAGCAGAGCUCCAUUCCAGAGUCCCCAGAGAGGAGGCACUUUUGCUCGAGCUUCACUCAGCUGUGUCCUCUGGAUGCUGGGAUAUGAGGGUGGCAUGUGGUUGGGGGCAUAUUUCACACACCAUUGAAUCUGUGAUAUCAGAUUUUUCUAUAGGAAGUAAGGAUGGGGCUGAACAGCUAAGGAGAAACUUAUUGGAAAUUCCCUUUGAGAGAAUGAAUAUAUGAAUGGAUAAUGGCCAGGCUGUAUGUUAAAAUAGAGCUCUGUCCCUCAGUCUGCAACCUCCAGUUCAGGGAGCCAAACCACAACCUUAGUAAGAGUUGGCCACAAAACAACCGGAAUGUAAUCAAUAACUGCCAGCUUCUCUAAUUUGUAUCCCUUUCCAACUUAAGACCAACCAUGGAAAGCCAAAUGUGCUCCCCUAAGCAAUCACAUAGGAUGCCCCACUUCAAGUUCUCCCACCUACAGCACCCUCCAUACCAGCAGCCUUCUAUUGGGGCAUAUCUGGAGCCUUCCCUUUAUUCACUAACAAGCUUUCCCACUCCCCUGCCUGCC